RNAcentral lists this long non-coding RNA (633 nucleotides) under Vigna radiata. RNAcentral's name for it is "long non-coding RNA (VRAD_LNC007540)". Lineage: Eukaryota; Viridiplantae; Streptophyta; Magnoliopsida; Fabales; Fabaceae. The record is from RNAcentral.
GCUAGCUGUUUUAUAUUGAUUUUCCUUUGGGGAGAAGAGAAGAAACUAGAAUAAAGCUACAAAAGUCAAAAAUGCAUACCUAUAUGAUAGAGAUAUUGCACAACUUUUUCUUUUGUAAAUUAUUUGGAUCAUACAAGGAGAGAUAUAUAUACCUACUUUGAAGUAUAUAUACUAUUGAACGAAGAGCAUUAUUUGAUUGGUGUGAAUGCAAAUGAAUCUACCUGGUUGAAAGGGCAAAGAAUGUGAACCACAAUUUGGUGUGAAUAAAGAAGAUUUAAUUAUGAUAUAUAUGUAGAUGCGUGCGUAGAAGAGUUAGAUGUUGAAAAGAGGAGGUGAUUUUUGAAGUAGUGUGAAGACAAGGUGGGGAAUAGAAAAAGCUGAAGAUGAGAAGGUCUCAUCAUGGAUUAUGGGGCCAAUGCAAGAAGUGUAUCCGAAUCCUGUAGAUGGAAGCAGCAAGGUCCCUCCCAUCAAGUCAUUUUCUGCCACUGUUACCUGCAUGUGCCCAACCAAAAGACAAACACAACACACCCAAUUAUUUCUCCCUAAACAAUUCACUCUUUCCUAAGAGUUAAACGUUAUUCACCCAAACUCAAACAACCCCAAUAAGCUCCAUCAUAUCGUAUAUAUGUUUUU